This is a non-coding RNA of Aedes albopictus (Asian tiger mosquito), 59 nucleotides long. The record is from Rfam. NCBI's taxonomy places the organism in Eukaryota, Metazoa, Arthropoda, Insecta, Diptera, Culicidae.
UAGCCUAGUGGUUAAAGGCUAUGGAUCGACAAUCCGGAGACGGCGGGUUCGAUUCCUGU